AGUGAACGCUGGCGGCAGGCCUAACACAUGCAAGUCGAACGGCAGCACAGUAAGAGCUUGCUCUUACGGGUGGCGAGUGGCGGACGGGUGAGGAAUACAUCGGAAUCUACUUUUUCGUGGGGGAUAACGUAGGGAAACUUACGCUAAUACCGCAUACGACCUACGGGUGAAAGCAGGGGAUCUUCGGACCUUGCGCGAUUGAAUGAGCCGAUGUCGGAUUAGCUGGUUGGCGGGGUAAAGGCCCACCAAGGCGACGAUCCGUAGCUGGUCUGAGAGGAUGAUCAGCCACACUGGAACUGAGACACGGUCCAGACUCCUACGGGAGGCAGCAGUGGGGAAUAUUGGACAAUGGGCGCAAGCCUGAUCCAGCCAUACCGCGUGGGUGAAGAAGGCCUUCGGGUUGUAAAGCCCUUUUGUUGGGAAAGAAAAGCAGCAGGUUAAUACCCCGCUGUUCUGACGGUACCCAAAGAAUAAGCACCGGCCAACUUCGUG
Molecule: ribosomal RNA, 492 nt
Filed under: uncultured bacterium
Lineage: Bacteria
Description: partial 16S ribosomal RNA
Rfam family: Bacterial small subunit ribosomal RNA
Source: RNAcentral